UCAGUGUCUGGCGGACAUUUCUUCUUCUCUCAGUUUCCUUAUUACCCGGUCAGGGUCUCGUGGUCACAGGAUCCAAUGGAGGAGGCGCCCGUGUGCUGCUCCCUACACAGCUGCGAGACCAAGUACGCUGCCCGGGUGUCCGGCGUCAGCGUUGGGACAGUGACCCCAAAACCAGGGACACCCUCCUCGCCCGCGGAUCCCGCCACUUCCCUGCCACAGAGUCCGAUGGCGACAACCGAACUGAGGCGCCCGGCUGAGGUUGCUGCUGUGGAACAGAGGAUGGGGAGGCACCCAUUGAAGAGAAUGUUAAUGUAAGAGGCUCAAGGGCUAUGAAUCUGAAGUCAGCACUGUCUUCCCAGAAGAACCACCCAUGUGAGAGUUGUGGGUGUGUCUUGAGACAUAUUUUCUUCUCCACUGACCAGCAGGGAACCCAACAGGGCCCAACACUGCUGAGGUGUGGGGCAUGUGCAAAACCAUUCUAUUUCAGUGCACAGAGUCACCAACUCCAGGAGCAGGACACGACAAAGAAUUGUUUCAUCAGCAGUGUGGACAGGGUCUUGCUUGCAAAGAGCUGCAAUUCCCAUGUGUUGUGGAAGGCUCGUAGCUCUAGUCAGGACGGAAUAGGCUUCCUCAUCAGCUCUACCAUGCACAGGAAAAAUGAAAUCCCUAAGUCUGGAAUGACUUUACAAACUACAAAAUAUUGCACCCCAAGAGAAUACAAGGAAGCCAUUGGCUGUGACGACACACUUGUUGACCAGAAUUUCCUUACUAGAAAACAGUUUUUUUUGUGUUGUGAAUGUGGGAAGUCUUUUAACACAAUUUCUGCCCUCCGUAUUCAUCAUAGAGUUCACACUGGAGAAAGGCCUUAUGAGUGCACUGAAUGUGUGAAGUCUUUUAGCCGAAUUUCUGCCCUCCAGGUUCAUCAGAGAGUUCACACUGGAGAAAGGCCUUUUAAGUGCGGUGAGUGUGGGAAAUCUUUCACCAGUAGCCCUGCCCUCCGUGUACAUCAGAGAGUUCACACUGGUGAAAGGCCUUAUAAGUGUGGUGAAUGUGGGAAGUCUUAUACCAGUCACUCUGGUCUCAGCCAUCAUCAGAAACUUCACACUGGAGAAAGGCCUUAUGGGUGCAGUGAAUGUGGGAAAUUGUUUAAGCAAAAAGCUAACUUUAAUUCUCAUCAGAGAGUUCACACUGGAGAAAGGCCUUACAAGUGUGGUGACUGUGGAAAAUCUUUCACCAGUAGCUGUGGCCUCCGGUAUCAUCAUAGAGUUCACACUGGGAAAAGGCCUUAUGUGUGUGGUGAAUGUGGGAAAUCUUUUACGCAAAGCUCUAACCUCCGUCAUCAUCAGAAUUUUCACACAGGAGAAAGGCCUUAUAAAUGCGGUGAAUGUGGGAAAUCUUUUACCCGUAUCUGUUACCUUCGAAAACAUCACAGAGAUCACACUGGAGAAAGGCCUUACGAGUGCGGUGAAUGUGGGAAAUCUUUCAGCUGUAGCUCUUCCCUCCGUCAUCAUCAGAAAGUUCAUAUAGAAGAAAAGCCUUAUAAGUGCAGUGAAUGCGGAAAGUCUUUUACCCAAAACUCUGAGCUUCGUAAACAUCACAGAGUUCACACUGGAGAAAGGCCUUAUGAGUGCAGUGAAUGUGGAAAAUCUUUUGCCCAUAGCUCUUCCCUCCGUCAUCAUCACAGAGUUCACUCUGGAAUAAGGCCUUAUAAGUGUGGUCAGUGUGAAAAAUCUUACACCAGUCGCUCUGGUCUCCGUCAUCAUGAGAAAGUUCACACUGGAGAAAGGCCUUAUGAGUGCAGUGAACAUGGGGAAUCUUGUAUCACUAGCUCUGCCCUCCAUUUUCAUCAGAGUGUUCACACUGGAUAAAGCACUGAUUACUGCACUAAAUGGGGAAACCCUUUAUAUGUACCUGUCACCUCCAUUAGCCUCAGAGAGUUCACACCAAAGAAGCACUUAUGAAUGUGGUGAAAGUGGGAAAUCUUUUAUCUAUUCAUUAACUGUCAUUGUUAUCAGACUGCACACAGUAGCAAAGCUUUAUGUCUGCAGGGAAUGUGGGACGUGUUUUAUCAGUAAUCAUCGUUUUCCUUGGAGACUUCACAUUGGAGAAAGGCCCCAUCAAUGCAGUGAAAGUGGAAAUCCUUUUUCUGUAGCAGUCCCUCAGUUGUCAUCAGAGAGUCACCCUGGAGAAUGGCCUUAUGCCUGCAGUGAAUUUGGGGAAUGUUUUUCUAGUAUCAGUGAUUUCCACUGAUUCAAGGUUUUUUAUAUAUGCAAUAUGAGAAUUUUUUAAUGCCACAAUCUUCCAUUAUAUUCCCAGGUUCCCGUGGUAAACAGCCCAAUGAGUAUGUUUUUGAUUCUAACUCCUUUCUUAUUAGAGAGUUUGCAGAGGAGAUAGUCUUUAUGAUGACAUGAACUGUGGGAAAUCUUCCACCUCGUUUCCAUAGGCAUGUUAAUUUCACACUGGUAAAAAGAUUCAAGCAUGAGGUGAACAUGGGAAGUCUUUAGCCAUAAGUCUUCAGCCUUUUGAUGUUGGAAAGGUCUCACUUUGUAAAAGUUUAGAUUGUAGGAAAUGUAUUUUUUUUUCAGUGUAAUAAUAUUGAAAAAAAACUUCCUGAAAAUGUCUGAGUUUAAUUUUAUAUACUCAGAGUGUGGAGAUGUAUGUCUCAGAAAUUUAAUAUUUAAAUGUUGAAGUACUUAACAAAUUAUGAUCUAAACUCUUUGUGCCUUUAUGCAUUUAUACUUAAAGUGUAAGAGGGUUGCAUUCCCCCACUCUAACAAAAUGUCGAUUUGUUUAUUUUUUAUAAUUUUAGCUGUUUUUACAUAUUUGUCAUGUUCUUUUUAUUGUUCUAGUGGUACUUUUCUAAGGAUUUAUGAUUAGCAUUUUUCAGGAGUGUAUGUAAAACGGGUAUGUUUUUAGUAUAUCCUGUGCUCACAUACUUUACCUAUGGUUUUGUAAUUUUAGGCUACUCUCCAUAGAAAAUAGGAGAGUGAAACAACAAAGACCUGUGUUGUAAUGUCACCCAUUUUCACUCCUUGAAAAACAGAUAAUUUUUGUUUCAUGGAAUAAUUGUUUUUAUGGAAACAUUGUUUUUAAUCGUGGAAAACAUCUCCAAAUUAUUUGGAUUUUUUGCUGUAAAGGAUGUGUAGUUUUCAGCCCUUUCUGUGGUCUUUCAUCUGGGGUUGAUGUGCUACAGCAGAACUUGAAGGUGCACCAGGUGGUAUGAAGAUCAAUGGUGGGUAUUUGUUGAGCCUGAAAGCCCUCAUAGAAGCCAAAGACAAGAAACCAGUGAUUAGACUCCCCGUAUCUUGGCCAUGCAAGCUGGGUUUAUGUCUUAGAUUAUUGACCGUAGUUGUUAUUACAGGAAAGUGAUUCACUGUAUAGGCCUCAGUAUUCUCCUGUGUAAAUAGGGAUAAAAAGCACCCUUGCCCUGGGCUGAGUGGCACAAUGGCCUGAAUGCUGUCCCACAAACCAAAAGAUUGCGUGUUCAAUUCCUGCUCAGGGCACAUGCCUGUGUUUUCGUCCAGUUUCCAAGUUAGGAGAUUGGGAAGGGCAAACACUGUUUUUGCAGUUCAACAUUUCUCUUGCUCUCUCCCUUCUUUACCCUCUCUAAAAUCCAGAGAAUAAAAUAAUUUUAAGAAAGAGCAGCCUUCAUCCUUGAAUAAAAAUUAUCCAGGGCUUGCAUUUUGAUCAAAAUUGUUAUUUUAAUCCUAACUACACUCUGGGAAUUAGUAACUGUUCGUGUAUUUCUGGGGAGAAUAGGAUGUAGAGGAGGAAAGGGUUUUUCCAAGGUCACAGGACAGACAAUUGUCAGAUUGAAGUGGCCGGAUUCAGACAUGUGAGUCUGGCUCCAGAGCUGGGCACAAUCUACCAUAGCAUAUUCCGCCCUCCGCAUAAGACAGGACAGGAGGGCCAGAGACGUGAGAAACUCAGCUAGCUGCUGUUUUCAUUAUUUUAAUUAUCACGAAUUUUCUGUGUUUUUUCCUGAUAUCUUAUAGUAUUUAACAUCUGCCUCAUAGUCGUCAUGGGAAUACUAUCUGUUAUUUGCAUUGCCUCUCCAGGGGAAACUACGUUGAGCCUUAGCUGCAUUUUGCCUACCUCCUUUUUGAGCUUAGUGUACACAGAUCAGGACUAAUGAGACCCCAGUGAUUCAUGGCUGGGUCUCUGCACAUUCACUUACCUUUUGCACGACAGGCUAGGUUAUUAUGCACUGUGGUGAAUAUUAUCCACUCAGAGUAUGGUUCUCCUAAACGACAACCUUGUCUACACAGGCAGUGUCAUCAAAGGUAACAAAAGCAAAGCCUCUCUUUUAGCCACUGCCUGAGUCAGUCACGACUUCAAUCACUUCCAUUGUUCCAUGUUGUUAAAAUAAUCUGUUAGGUGUUUUCCAGUGUCUUCUUUGCUACCAUCGACUAAAGUCUUCACAGUUAAGGGUCACCAUGUCUGUGAAAAUUUAAAGGUUUCAGUUAUUUAUUUUUAGAGGGAGGGUAAAGUAGGGAGAGAGGGAGACAAAUAAUGGAUCUGCUGCCUCAAACGUGCCCCCAACUGGGAAUCUAGUCCACAAUCCAGACGGGUCCUGACAGGAAUCAAACCAGCAACAUUUCGAUUCACAAGGCAGAGCUCAAUCCACUGAGCCAGACCUCAGCAGGGCUCGGGAAUUUUCUCCUGAAAAAGGCUCUUUGGUUCCACAGCUCUUCCACCUACCUAUAUGGCUACGUGUUCUUGGCUGCAUCCACAUCCUCCAAUGUGGUAUGUGUGACAGUCCCCAAGUCUCUGGAGCACUUGGUGUUUGGAUCUUCAUCACACAGCUUGUGGGCAUUUGCCAUUGCUCCACAUUGCUCUUCAGACCCUCAGCACAUGUUUCAAAUCUCAAACCUUCAAUGAAGAGCUUCUUUAGCUGUUAGGGCUCUCAGGGAGACUCUGACUUAGAUGUAGCAACUGCAGGAGGGAGACUUCAGCGAUGGUUACUCAGCAGUGUCCACUGGCAGAAGGAGUCAAUAUUUGUGUUCUAAUUCCUGAAAACAAUUAUGUUAUUUAAAAUUUUAU
Artibeus jamaicensis (Jamaican fruit-eating bat) is the source of this 5043-nucleotide RNA transcript. It is a transcript of the gene named zinc finger protein 501-like, with no coding region annotated. NCBI's taxonomy places the organism in Eukaryota, Metazoa, Chordata, Mammalia, Chiroptera, Phyllostomidae. The record is from RefSeq and is a predicted model, not a curated record. The transcript has 3 exons.